RNAcentral lists this ribosomal RNA (301 nucleotides) under uncultured bacterium. RNAcentral describes it as "partial 16S ribosomal RNA". It matches the Rfam family "Bacterial small subunit ribosomal RNA", at positions 509 to 807 of the family's 1533-position model. The record is from RNAcentral.
CAGCAGCCGCGGGAAUACGGAGGGUGCAAGCGUUAAUCGGAAUUACUGGGCGUAAAGCGCACGCAGGCGGUCUGUCAAGUUAGAUGUGAAAUCCCCGGGCUUAACCUGGGAACUGCAUUUGAAACUGGCAGGCUAGAGUCUUGUAGAGGGGGGUAGAAUUCCAGGUGUAGCGGUGAAAUGCGUAGAGAUCUGGAGGAAUACCGGUGGCGAAGGCGGCCCCCUGGACAAAGACUGACGCUCAGGUGCGAAAGCGUGGGGAGCAAACAGGAUUAGAUACCCCAGUAGUCCCUGUCUCUUAUAC